RNAcentral lists this transfer RNA (73 nucleotides) under Paenibacillus polymyxa SC2. It matches the Rfam family "tRNA". Rfam says of the family: Transfer RNA (tRNA) molecules are approximately 80 nucleotides in length. The record is from Rfam by way of RNAcentral. Lineage: Bacteria; Bacillati; Bacillota; Bacilli; Caryophanales; Paenibacillaceae.
GGGGUCAUAGCUCAAGUGGUAGAGCAACUGCUUUGCAAGCAGAAGGUUGGAGGUUCAAGUCCUCUCGGUUCCA